This 148-nucleotide small nuclear RNA is filed under the name Saimiri boliviensis boliviensis (Bolivian squirrel monkey). RNAcentral's name for it is "U2 spliceosomal RNA (ENSSBOG00000004318.1)". The stretch from base 1 to 122 matches the Rfam family "U2 spliceosomal RNA". From Rfam's summary of the family: U2 is a small nuclear RNA (snRNA) component of the spliceosome (involved in pre-mRNA splicing). Complementary binding between U2 snRNA (in an area lying towards the 5' end but 3' to hairpin I) and the branchpoint sequence (BPS) of the intron results the bulging out of an unpaired adenosine, on the BPS, which initiates a nucleophilic attack at the intronic 5' splice site, thus starting the first of two transesterification reactions that mediate splicing. Lineage: Eukaryota; Metazoa; Chordata; Mammalia; Primates; Cebidae. The record is from RNAcentral.
AUCACUUCUUGACCUUUUGGCUAAGAUCAAGUGUAGUAUCUGUUCUUAUCAGCUUAGUAUCUGAUAUGUCCUCUAUCCAAAGACAAUCUAUUAAAUUCUUCUUAAGCUGAUAAGAAACUUCAGCAAAGUCUCAGGAUACAAAAUCAAU